RNAcentral lists this ribosomal RNA (372 nucleotides) under uncultured organism. RNAcentral describes it as "bacterial SSU rRNA". It matches the Rfam family "Bacterial small subunit ribosomal RNA", at positions 526 to 896 of the family's 1533-position model. The record is from RNAcentral.
CGUAGGGGGCUAGCGUUGUCCGGAAUCAUUGGGCGUAAAGCGCGUGUAGGCGGUCCGGUAAGUCCGCUGUGAAAGUCGGGGGCUCAACCCUCGGAUGCCGGUGGAUACUGUCGGGCUUGAGUACGGAAGAGGCGAGUGGAAUUCCUGGUGUAGCGGUGAAAUGCGCAGAUAUCAGGAGGAACACCAAUUGCGAAGGCAGCUCGCUGGGACGUUACUGACGCUGAGACGCGAAAGCGUGGGGAGCAAACAGGAUUAGAUACCCUGGUAGUCCACGCUGUAAACGAUGGGCACUAGGUGUGGGGGGUGUCGACUCCCUCCGUGCCGAAGCUAACGCAUUAAGUGCCCCGCCUGGGGAGUACGGCCGCAAGGCUA